Molecule: small nuclear RNA, 109 nt
Filed under: Plasmopara halstedii
Lineage: Eukaryota; Oomycota; Peronosporomycetes; Peronosporales; Peronosporaceae
Source: RNAcentral
AUUACCAGAAUAUAGGUACCAUCCGUAAAAACUGGAACGAUACAGAGAAGAUUAGCAUGGCCCCUGCGCAAGGAUGACACGCAUAAAUCGAGAAGUAUCGAAAUAUCGG